This 152-nucleotide unclassified non-coding RNA is filed under the name soil metagenome. RNAcentral's name for it is "partial internal transcribed spacer 1". The record is from RNAcentral.
GUGAUUAAAUCGAGCGUGUCUUCAUUGACCGCUCACCCUUCUCACCAUCCACAUACACCUGUGCACUGUUUAGCCUGAGCCGGUUUUCCGGUCCAGGUUAUCAUUCAUACAAACUCUAGUCUUAUGAAUGUAAACGUUUUAAUAACAUAAUA